GCAUGACUCAGACUGCAUGACAGGUAC
RNAcentral lists this non-coding RNA (27 nucleotides) under Homo sapiens (human). The record is from RNAcentral. Lineage: Eukaryota; Metazoa; Chordata; Mammalia; Primates; Hominidae.